AGCAGUCGCCGCGGUAAUACGUAGGUGGCAAGCGUUGUCCGGAUUUAUUGGGCGUAAAGCGAGCGCAGGCGGUUCCUUAAGUCUGAUGUGAAAGCCCCCGGCUCAACCGGGGAGGGUCAUUGGAAACUGGGGAACUUGAGUGCAGAAGAGGAGAGUGGAAUUCCAUGUGUAGCGGUGAAAUGCGUAGAUAUAUGGAGGAACACCGGUGGCGAAAGCGGCUCUCUGGCUUGUAACUGACGCUGAGGCUCGAAAGCGUGGGGAGCAAACAGGAUUAGAUACCCCCGUAGUCCCUGUCUCUUAUAC
This 303-nucleotide ribosomal RNA is filed under the name uncultured bacterium. Its description in RNAcentral is "partial 16S ribosomal RNA". It matches the Rfam family "Bacterial small subunit ribosomal RNA", at positions 507 to 807 of the family's 1533-position model. The record is from RNAcentral.